GCGGAGGAAAAGAAACCAACAGGGAUUGCCCUAGUAACGGCGAGUGAAGCGGCAACAGCUCAAAUUUGAAAUCUGGCGCAAGCCCGAGUUGUAAUUUGUAGAGGAUGCUUCUAGGUAGCGACCGGUCUAAGUUCCUUGGAACAGGACGUCAUAGAGGGUGAGAAUCCCGUAUGUGACCGGCCCGCACCUUCUACGUAGCUCCUUCGACGAGUCGAGUUGUUUGGGAAUGCAGCUCUAAAUGGGAGGUAAAUUUCUUCUAAAGCUAAAUACCGGCCAGAGACCGAUAGCGCACAAGUAGAGUGAUCGAAAGAUGAAAAGCACUUUGGAAAGAGAGUUAAAAAGCACGUGAAAUUGUUGAAAGGGAAGCGCUUACAACCAGACUUCUGGGCGGUGUUCCGCCGGUCUUCUGACCGGUCUACUCGCCGUCCCGAGGCCAACAUCAUCUGGGACCGCUGGAUAAGACCUCAGGAAUGUAGCUCCCCUCGGGGAGUGUUAUAGCCUGUGGUGAUGCAGCGCGUCUCGGGUGAGGUCCGCGCUUCGGCAAGGAUGUUGGCGUAAUGGUUGUCAGCGGCCCGUCUUGAAACACGGACCAAGGAGUCUAACAUCUAUGCGAGUGUUCGGGUGUCAAACCCCUACGCGUAAUGAAAGUGAACGGAGGUGGGAAGCGCAAGCUGCACCAUCGACCGAUCCUGAUGUCCUCGGAUGGAUUUGAGUAAGAGCAUAGCUGUUGGGACCCGAAAGAUGGUGAACUAUGCCUGAAUAGGGUGAAGCCAGAGGAAACUCUGGUGGAGGCUCGCAGCGGUUCUGACGUGCAAAUCGAUCGUCAAAUUUGGGUAUAGGGGCGAAAGACUAAUCGAACCAU
This 862-nucleotide ribosomal RNA is filed under the name Ramularia archangelicae. RNAcentral describes it as "eukaryotic LSU rRNA". It matches the Rfam family "Eukaryotic large subunit ribosomal RNA", at positions 50 to 943 of the family's 3401-position model. Lineage: Eukaryota; Fungi; Ascomycota; Dothideomycetes; Mycosphaerellales; Mycosphaerellaceae. The record is from RNAcentral.